AUUGAACGCUGGCGGCAUGCCUUACACAUGCAAGUCGAACGGCAGCACGGGAGCAAUCCUGCCGGCGAGUGGCGAACGGGUGAGUAAUACAUCGGAACGUGCCCUGUAGUGGGGGAUAACUAGUCGAAAGAUUAGCUAAUACCGCAUACGACCUGAGGGUGAAAGUGGGGGACCGCAAGGCCUCAUGCUAUAGGAGCGGCCGAUGUCUGAUUAGCUAGUUGGUGGGGUAAAGGCCUACCAAGGCGACGAUCAGUAGCUGGUCUGAGAGGACGAUCAGCCACACUGGGACUGAGACACGGCCCAGACUCCUACGGGAGGCAGCAGUGGGGAAUUUUGGACAAUGGGCGAAAGCCUGAUCCAGCAAUGCCGCGUGUGUGAAGAAGGCCUUCGGGUUGUAAAGCACUUUUGUCCGGAAAGAAAUGGCUCUGGUUAAUACCUGGGGUCGAUGACGGUACCGGAAGAAUAAGGACCGGCUAACUACGUGCCAGCAGCCGCUGUAA
RNAcentral lists this ribosomal RNA (500 nucleotides) under uncultured bacterium. Its description in RNAcentral is "partial 16S ribosomal RNA". It matches the Rfam family "Bacterial small subunit ribosomal RNA", at positions 30 to 523 of the family's 1533-position model. The record is from RNAcentral.